This is a non-coding RNA of Pelobates cultripes (western spadefoot toad), 274 nucleotides long. The record is from the annotation of a GenBank genome assembly. NCBI's taxonomy places the organism in Eukaryota, Metazoa, Chordata, Amphibia, Anura, Pelobatidae.
CUCUGAUUCUGCUUAAUGUGUUUGUGAUAUCUUGGAAACAAGUAUCACCACUUGCUAAUGCAAGGGUUUCUAUUUGGAGAUACACUAUGAAAAGCUUUUUUGUAUCCUUUUAAGGUACAAGCUAAAUUGAAUCACAGUGUAUCUACAGAUAUUACAAUUUUGCUGCAGCACAGGAUUAACCCUCUAAAGAUUCCCAUUCAGAACUUUUGGACUCUUAAGCAAGUUUUUAAAUAUAUUUUAUGUGCAUAAUCUAACUUGAUGUGAUGCAUAGAGG